GACGAACGCUGGCGGCGUGCUUUAUACAUGCAAGUCGAACGAUGAAGUUCCUUCGGGAAUGGAUUAGUGGCGAACGGGUGAGGAACACGUGAGAAACCUGCCUUUCAUUCUGGGAUAACACCGGGAAACCGGUGCUAAUACCGGAUACUCCGUCUUGACGGCAUCGCCGAGCCGGGAAAAAAUUUUGAUGAAAGAUGGUCUCGCGGCCUAUCAGCUAGUUGGUGAGGUAAAGGCUCACCAAGGCGACGACGGGUAGCCGGCCUGAGAGGGCGACCGGCCACACUGGGACUGAGACACGGCCCAGACUCCUACGGGAGGCAGCAGUAGGGAAUAUUGGGCAAUGGGCGCAAGCCUGACCCAGCGACGCCGCGUGAGGGAUGAAGGUCUUCGGAUUGUAAACCUCUUUCAGUAGGGAAGAAGCGAAAGUGACGGUACCUAAAGAAGAAGCACCGGCUAACUAUGUGCCAGCCGCCGCUGUAA
Molecule: ribosomal RNA, 480 nt
Filed under: uncultured bacterium
Lineage: Bacteria
Description: partial 16S ribosomal RNA
Rfam family: Bacterial small subunit ribosomal RNA
Source: RNAcentral